RNAcentral lists this transfer RNA (83 nucleotides) under Paraburkholderia sediminicola. Its description in RNAcentral is "tRNA-Ser". Lineage: Bacteria; Pseudomonadati; Pseudomonadota; Betaproteobacteria; Burkholderiales; Burkholderiaceae. RNAcentral also lists the same sequence under 1 other name. The record is from RNAcentral.
GUGAACCGUAGAUGAAGGUGGGCACAUCGAUCUUCGAGAGGUCGACCGGCUCGCCGCAGGUGGUCACCGCGCCCGGCUCGCGC